AGAGAGCAUGACAUUUGUGU
RNAcentral lists this non-coding RNA (20 nucleotides) under Rattus norvegicus (Norway rat). Lineage: Eukaryota; Metazoa; Chordata; Mammalia; Rodentia; Muridae. The record is from RNAcentral.